Molecule: long non-coding RNA, 622 nt
Filed under: Equus caballus (horse)
Lineage: Eukaryota; Metazoa; Chordata; Mammalia; Perissodactyla; Equidae
Description: lncRNA (ENSECAG00000053158.1)
Source: RNAcentral
CGUGUGGAAUGGAGCUUUCACAGGCUGGUGACUUUCCCAAGGUUGCACAGCUAGUAAGCGGCAGGGCUGGGCCAGAACUCAGGUCUCUCUCCCCUGGACCACGCAGCAAGUGCACAGAUGCAGAGUCUCCCUCAUCAGCUCCUUUCGCUGUGCCCAGGCUUGGCCUGACUUGCCCUUGACAUAUCCGUAUAGGGAGCUUGGACUGGUUUCAGAGGAAGACAGCACACGGACAAAGGAUGGGCGCAAGGACAGCACACGAUCAAAGAGAAACUAAACGGAGCUCUAUACGCCUGUAAUAGGGCAUCUGGGAAGUCAAAAUCCCAAGGGCCUGAAGGGCUGGUCCAGGCCUGCACCCAGAUGAAUUAUGAUAUUUUCCUGCCCUGGAAGCUGACAAGAACCAGUGUGGCUUUCUGGGGAGGCAGAGAGGCAAGAGCAGGGGGUCCGGAACCCACAGACACUCUCAGAGGAAACUACAGAAUGACACUGCUCUUAUAAUGCUUGGGAUUUUGGUGGUCGAGGCAGCGCACCCAGCGUUGGAAUUCUUGGGUGACCUACCGGCUGAGGACUAGUACCAAAGUCUUCUUUUGGCCAUCUCAACCAAUUCUUUUUUCAAAACAACAAG